RNA transcript from Vicia villosa (hairy vetch), 2133 nucleotides. It is a transcript of the gene named putative glucose-6-phosphate 1-epimerase, with no coding region annotated. The transcript has 5 exons. Lineage: Eukaryota; Viridiplantae; Streptophyta; Magnoliopsida; Fabales; Fabaceae. The record is from RefSeq and is a predicted model, not a curated record.
CAUUGCACGUUAAAAAUUUCAACUACAUAAUCUUCAAAUUAACCCCUCAUCCAAGAUCAAUCAAAUCUAAGAAACAAAACAUAAUGAAGUCUUCAAAUAUUCCCGCGAUCUUAGCCAUUUUCUCCAUGUGCUGUUUCAUUUGCUCAGCACGCAACGAGCCACAUGACUACCUAGACGCGCACAACGAGGCUCGUGCCGAGGUUGGUGUCGGUCCUCUCGAAUGGAGCCCUACCCUUGCAGAAAAGGAGAAAACCGUUUCUUCAUCUUCUUCCUCCUUUACCUUAUCCAAAGAUAUCAAUGGCCUCGAGAAAGUUGUUCUUCGUGAGGCUCGUGGUUCUUCCGCUGAGGUUUACCUUUACGGUGGUCACGUGACUUCUUGGAAGAAUGAACAUGCAGAUGAAUUGCUUUUUCUCAGUAGUAAGGCUAUCUUUAUGCCACCUAAGGCUAUUCGCGGAGGGAUUCCAAUAUGCUUUCCACAAUUUUCAAACCAUGGACCCUUGGGAUCACAUGGAUUUGCUAGAAAUCGGUUUUGGACCAUUGAAGAUAAUCCUCCUCCUUUUCCAACAAAUAAUUUGAGCAACGCCUUUGUUGAUUUGAUUCUUAAACCCUCUGUUGAAGACUUGAAAAUCUGGAAUCACAGUUUUGAGUACCGUCUGAGGGUAGCUUUGGGACCCGCAGGAGAUUUGAUGUUGACUUCUCGGAUUCGGAACACAAACAGUGAUGGAAAGCCAUUUUCGUUCACCUUUGCUUAUCAUACAUAUCUAUCUGUAUCAAACAUAAGUGAAGUUCGAGUUGAGGGAUUAGAGACCCUGGAUUAUCUUGACAACUUGCAGAACAAGACGCGUUUUACUGAACAGGGGGGUGCUUUGACGUUUGAAUCAGAAGUUGACAAGAUAUAUCUAAGUACUCCAACAAAGAUUGCAGUUAUUGAUCAUGAAAAAAAUAGGACAUUUGUUUUGCGUAAAGAUGGCAUUCCUGAUGCUGUGGUGUGGAAUCCUUGGGAUAAGAAAGCAAAGGCUAUGGCUGAUUUCGGCUAUGAUGAGUACAAGCAUAUGCUUUGUGUAGAGGCUGCUGCUAUUGAAAAGCCUAUCACUUUGAAACCUGGAGAAGAAUGGAGUGGAAGACUAGAGCUUUCAGCUGUUCCAUUUAGUUACUGUAGUGGGCAGCUUGAUCCCCAGAAAGUUCUUCAGUGCAGCUGAAAGAUCAUUGUUGCAUUCUGUGUCCUGUACAGUUCUCCGACCGUCCCUCCGCCACGACCUUCAUCUUCAAUUGCAGCUACGGCCGUCACUCCACCACGUUCUCCCUCCGCCUCUGGUUCGCCGUCUCCGCCUCAGGUUCGCCGUCUCAGCCGCUGGUUCGCCGUUCUCCCUCCGCCUCUGGUUCGCCGUCACCAGGUCUGACUGGAUUGAUAAUUUUGGAUCUCUUUGGAGCUCGUAUCAUUGACUCUGGUACUACAUAUUUACGAUGUUUCUCGUCCUAGUUCGACGUACAUCUCUCAUUCUCUACGUUUUCUUGAGUUCGGUAAAAUCCGAGCUUAAUUAAGACAUCGAUAAGACAUGGAUGAAUUCAAACCGACUGUCGAAAGAGUACGAAAAAGGGGUACGGGAGCUCGUUAAUUUGCGGUUGCGCACGCCAAAGACCCGAUUCGAAUGACAUGUCCUUGCUUGGAUUGCUGUUAUGGGGGUCAGGUUGACGGGAAUCAGUUGGCAUCGUAUUUACUACAGUUUGGAAUUGAUAGAAGUUAUACAUGUUGGAAUUUGCAUGGUGAGAAAAGUAACAGGAAUGUUGAAUCGAGGUGUAAUAUGACGUAUGCUUCAAACGACGAUUGCACAGACACAUACGAUUAUGAUCAAGUCGAAGAGAUUGCAGAAGAGCUUGAAGAAGAUCUUGAGGAUUGUCCCAAAAUGUUCGAGAGGUUGGUAAGCGAUGUAGAGAAACCGGUGUAUGAUGGUUGUACAGAAUUCACAAGAUUGUCUGCGGUGUUAAAGUUGUACAACUUAAAGGCGGACAAUGGAUGGUCGGAUAAAAGUUUCACAAAGUUAUUAGCCCUUAUGAAAGAAAUGCUACCAGAGGAUAAUGUUCUUCCCAAUCGAACGUAUGAGGCCAAAAAGAUGUUGUCCUCUACUGGUGUAA